RNAcentral lists this ribosomal RNA (433 nucleotides) under uncultured bacterium. Its description in RNAcentral is "partial 16S ribosomal RNA". It matches the Rfam family "Bacterial small subunit ribosomal RNA", at positions 29 to 507 of the family's 1533-position model. The record is from RNAcentral.
AACGAACGCUGGCGGCAUGCCUAACACAUGCAAGUCGAACGAGACCUUCGGGUCUAGUGGCGCACGGGUGCGUAACGCGUGGGAACCUGCCCUUAGGUUCGGAAUAACUCCCCGAAAGGGGUGCUAAUACCGGAUAAUGUCUUCGGACCAAAGAUUUAUCGCUUUUGGAUGGGCCCGCGUUGGAUUAGCUAGUUGGUAGGGUAAAAGCCUACCAAGGCGACGAUCCAUAGCUGGUCUGAGAGGAUGAUCAGCCACACUGGGACUGAGACACGGCCCAGACUCCUACGGGAGGCAGCAGUGGGGAAUAUUGGACAAUGGGCGAAAGCCUGAUCCAGCAAUGCCGCGUGAGUGAUGAAGGCCUUAGGGUUGUAAAGCUCGUUUACCCGGGAUGAUAAUGACAGUACCGGGAGAAUAAGCGCCGGCUAACUCCGUG